AGGCAGCAGAGACUCUGUUCUCCUCGUUUGGAUUAAUUCUGAUAUAAUAACUCUUGGUUUAUUUAUCGGUGCAGCAGCAGAACCUUUUCCACAGACAGUUUUCCUGCCCGUUGGCUUGUUUUAACCAGUUUUCUACCUUCGGCUGAUUCUACCAGCAGACACUGAAAGGACUCUGAUAGUUCGAGUGAAAGCAGCAGUUCCUCCUUAAGGUCAGAGAUUGCAGCAUCUGAGGGCCUCUUCAAAAGAAGACGUAGUUGAUGAAGGCAUUCUGGAGCAGGACCAGAAAGACCACAACCAAGCAGCCUUGAGAUCUUAGGCAGCGUCUCUCUCGGCCACCAACCACUGGAACACAUCUGGAACAAAGUUCUGCCGGGCCAGCUCAACUUCCCCUCAGAAGAAGUGCUGCCACCUGCCAGAUGAAGGAGCCUUUUGAGAGGCAGCUGGCAUCGUGAUUGGACUGUACUUUGGUCUGUUCCAAUCCAGCUUCAGCUCCAGAGACGGCAGGCGGGACGAGUCAACGGAGGCCAGGUGGACGGAGGCAUGCAGCUGAGUCGAAAAAAAAUGUGAUUUUUAACAUGUUGUAAAAACGUGUCAUAUGAUGAAAUAAUGUAAAGGAGGCUGUGAAAAACACUCCAGAGAGAUUUUCUUUGAAAAAAAAAAAUCAUCAUGAAUUUUGGCGCAAAAAAACGCCAUAGUAUAUACUAUGUUGAAAAAUUUGAUUUUUCAACAUGUUGUGAAAACAUGCCGUAUGAUGAAAUAAUGUAAAGCAGGCUGUGAAAAACACUCCAGAAAGGUUUUCUUUGAAAAAAAAAUCAUCAUGAAUUGUGGCGCAAAAAAAAACUCCAUAGUAUACUAUGUCGAAAAAUGUCGUUUUUCAACAUGUUGUGAAAACAUGCCAUAUGAUGAAAUAAUGUAAAAGAGGCCGUGAAACACACUCCAGAAAGGUUUUCUUUGAAAAAAAAUCAACAUGAAUUUUGGCGCAAAAAAAAACGCCAUAGUAUACUAUGUCGAAAAAAAAUGCGAUUUUUCAAGAUAUUGUAAAAACGUGCCAUAUGAUGAAAUAAUGUAAAGGAGACCAUGAAAAACACUGGUAAGGUUCCCGUUGACAAAAAAAUUAUCAUGAAUUUUGGCGCAAAAAAACGCCAUAGUAUACUAUGUCGAAAAAAAAAUGCGAUUUUUCAACAUGUUGUAAAAACGUGCCAUAUGAUGAAAUAAUGUCAAGGAGGCCGUGAAAAACACUCCAGAAAGGUUUUCUUUGAAAAAAAAUCAUCAUGAAUUUUGGCGCAAAAAAACGCCAUAGUAUAUACUAUGUCGAAAAAUGUCAUUUUUCAACACUAAAUCUUAUUGAAAAAUAUGUUUUACUGAAGUCCACCUCUUUCAGCCAUCUCUACCCCUCAUUAGAUACCACUCUAAGGUACAUUAUACAAAAAAAAAUCCAGUAGAUGUCAGUGUUUUGAAAUAGCAUGCAGAGCAAGUUACUCUGCUCACAGGAAGUUAGCACGAGCAAAAUCACUCCUCGCAUGAGGACUCUGUUUGCUGUGAUUUUCAAAGGUGAAGUAAUACUUUUGACAUAUUAUGGUGCCUAAGGAGUUGCUGAACACAAAUGUGUCAUUUGAAAUGUAAAAAAAAAAAAAAAAAAAGAUUUGAAAGGGUAAAAUAAUUUUUCUCAACCGUUUGGUAGAGGUCAAUAUUUUAAAAAUUGGUGGGUCUCUUCAUUAAAAAAAACCAUUGAUUGUUGUUAUUAGUGCCCCAAAGAGAUAAGAAAUAUAAAGAAAUAAUUUUUCAUUGCCUUUUUCUUGGUGAGGAUGUUUAAGGGUUAACUUAACAUCUGUAAACAAAACAAAAACGUAUCAACAAAGUUUUCUGUUAGAGUUUGUGUUCUUGUAAGUUUAAAUCCAAGAUUUUAAAUACUUUCAUUUACUGCAAAUUAAUAUUGACUCCAAAUGUCACACUAAUAAUCAUUAUCAGCCUUAAAAACCCACAAAACACCCCUCUAUACUCGACCACACUUAGUACAGUCCGGUUCCCCCUUCUAUAAAUCUGCUUGGAAUCUUCCACUUCCUGUUUGUCAAAGUGGCCUUCUACCUGGACAGGUUUUGUUGGAGCUCAUGCAACAAGCAUUUUGGGUAACUGCACUUUAAUAUAAAUGGAUGAUACUGAAUUAGAGUCUGUUUUAAUGAGACUGAGUUAAGAUGUGUAGCUCUGUCAUUAAAUAGUAAAUUAUUUCCCAGAAUUCACAGAGAAAGGUCUGAAAUGUUUGCUAGGUUAGUGUCCCACAUGUUCUUUGGCUCAGCUAAAGCUAACUCUCUCCAACUUCUGGAUCUCUUGAGUUGCUUGUUUUUAAAAUAUCUUGCUAGAGGUGCUGAAGCUCAGAAAGUCUGAGAUGUUUGUUCAGAAUGAGCUCAUUCUCAAGUCUUAUCUGAACUGUCCUCUUUUGUUUGAACUUGCCCUAAACUUAGGAGUUAAUGACAGAGCAGCACAUUCAGGCUCAGUCUCAUUUAUGUAGCGAUUAAACUUCAGUGUCAUUCAUUGAUGUUAAAGUGCAGUUUUUCAAAUGUUUGUUGCACAUGCUCCCGACCAAACCAGUCCAGGUGGAAGACGAUGUGAAGAGAAAGCUCCAGAGGAUGAAUAUCACACAUUUACGUUGGAAAUAAAUGUCCUUUAAUUAGACAUUGUCAUGCAAAAGUUGGAUUUCCCUUUAAUGAUGUUCAAAUCUUUGUUGAGUGUUUUGUUGAUGUUGGUUUCUAAAUGUUUUUUGACACUCGGCCCCAAAGAUUAAAACCUUUUCCGGCGCACAAGCUGCAACAAUUCACACAUUAUCAACUAUCUUUCUGACUAAACUAAGAUAAAAAGUGAAAAACUGCCUGAUUCCUGCAUCAUGAAUGUAAAUCUUUUUGGUUUUUAUGAUGGUAAACUGAAUAUAUUUGGGUUUGACAUUUUAUAAACCAAAACAAGAAAUGAAUUACUGCAGAAAACAAUCAACAGAUUAAUGGACAAAGAAAAUGUGUUUUCCAACAUAUAUGGCUGAAUUACUCCAACAUUACAAGAUACACACAAUUUGAAUUCAAUUUUAUUUAUAUAACGCCAAAUACAGGUCAAAUUGUCUCAAGACGCUUUAUUUUUAUAUUUUUUUGUCAUAUUUAAAAUAUGACAAAGUAAGAAAUUUAAACCUCUUGACUAAUCCAAUUUAUUACUUGGUUUUUAAGAGACUAAUCGACAACUAAAAUAACUUUCUCCACUAAAACUAAUAAACAUCAGGUCAAAUGGAAGGAACAGUUUUAAAUACUGCAGUCCCACGAUGACAAGAAUAAAGUUUGUCAACAAAAAGUAAAUCUGCUGGUGGAUUCCAUUAAAGUCCUAAUAAAUGAUAAUAAAGUGUGAUACUAAAGAUUUGUGGUGCUAAAAAUCUCCAAGUAAAGAUAUCAAGUUGAGCAUCUGGAUGGAGGUUGAUAAAAGUUGACCUCCCUUCAUUUCUCUGGAACCGACUCCAUGGAUUUUAUGGAUGGUGGUUAAAGCCCUGCUCUUCUAGUGGUCUUCCUUCUAGUCGCUGUGAAAAGUCAGUCCAUCCUGGCCGACUUCAACACCUCUUCAUGACAGCUUGUUCUGCCUCCGACCUCGUGGAAACUCCAGAAACUCGGGAAAACCCAUGGAGACUCGAAGAACUCGUGGAGACUCGAAAAACUCGUCGGGCGGGGGAAGGUGUGGUGGGUGGUGGUGGGCGGUGGGGGAGUAGAGGGGGGAGGCCACCACCCACCUCCCCGCCUACUCUCCGCCCUGACUCCACCCAGACUCCGCCUAGGCCCAGCCCAUGUGGUCACUUCAGGAACUACGAUGCCAAAGGGACGACGAAUUUAUUUCUUUUCAUCUGAUCUGUAGCUCAGUGAGUUAAGGAUUUGCCUAUGGAGCUGCAGGUCGCUGGUUCAAGACCAGACCCUUCUUAAGUUUUAUCAAAAUCCUGACAAAGACAAAGAAAGAAAAGUGCCAGUGGUGGGACUUGAACCUGCGACCUUCCACUUCGUAGUCUAUCCUCUUAACCCCCUGAGCUACUUGCUCAGAUACUAAUUUUUCUUUUUUUUGCGCAUUUAUCAUCUAUUUUUUGUCUCUUUCGGUUUUUUUUUUAACUCGAGUCUCGACUCGACCGUUUUUCUCAGGAGGUUGGACUUCAGCCUUUGUGCUGGAGGGUUGAACCCUCAGUUCCAAGACUUUCCAAAGCCUCCACACCUCCCCAGUCCUCAGGACCUGAGCUUUCACACAGUCUGAGGGCUGAAAUUUUCUAAGUCCCACAGUAGAUCUGUUAGUUUGAACCUUCAGACAGUCCAAGGACUGAAAUCCUCUAAGUUCCUGAGUAGUUCUCUGUUAGUUUGAACCUUCAGACAGUCUGAGGACUGAAAUCUUAAAAGUUUCUCAGUACUUCUCUGUUAGUUUGAACCUUCAGACAGUCUGAGGACUGAAAUUAUCAAAGUUUCUCAGUACUUCUCUGUUAGUUUGAACUUUCUGGUUAACAGAAGCCUUAAAACUUGUGACCAUGAGUCUUCAUUUCACAUUUAGACCAUCCAUCUGAGUUCUUCUCAGACCUUCACCUGUGGGUUUUUUAGAAAUCCUGAACAAACUUUGAUUCUCUUCACUGAACAGUAAAGUUUGUGGAGAUCAAAAGGUAACAUUAGUUUGAUCAAUGCCUUCAACUACUAGUAGACUUUAUCUGGAAAGCAGUUUUCUGAAAUGAGUUCUUAGUAAUUCUGUCCACAAUCAAACCAAGAACAUAGAAAGAGGAAAUGUUUGAAGAAACAACUUGAUGUUUUCAUUUUAGACUAGAAAACGCUUUUAGACCUUUAUCUGUUUUUGCUCUUUUUGAUCGUUUUGUCUCUUCUGUUUAAUUUGAUCUUCUAAAGUCUAACUGGUGUCUUUUCAAAUGUUUUUUCUUUAGUUUGCUUCUUCUUAAACAUUUAGUUUUGCUCUUUUCUCACCUUUUAUUCUUUUCUAAUGUCUGAUUUGAUUUUGAAAUGUUUUGUCUUUUUAAUGUUUAAUUGUUUUUUCAAAUGUUUUAUCGGCUUGUUUGAAUUUUUUUCUUUCCCAAUAUUUAAUUUUUUGAUUAAAUCUUUAAGGUUUUUCUUUUUAAA
Long non-coding RNA from Amphiprion ocellaris (clown anemonefish), 5117 nucleotides. RefSeq lists it as uncharacterized. NCBI's taxonomy places the organism in Eukaryota, Metazoa, Chordata, Actinopteri, Pomacentridae. The transcript is spliced from 3 exons. The record is from RefSeq and is a predicted model, not a curated record.